GAAGCCCCGGCACCUUUUGGGUGCGUCUUCAAACUUGCAAUCUGAUGUGUAUCGUACACUCCGGAG
This 66-nucleotide transfer RNA is filed under the name Goggia lineata. Its description in RNAcentral is "tRNA-Cys". The record is from RNAcentral. Lineage: Eukaryota; Metazoa; Chordata; Lepidosauria; Squamata; Gekkonidae.